AGUGAACUUAAGCCCCAGUAAACGGCGGCCGUAACUAUAACGGUCCUAAGGUAGCGAAAUUCCUUGUCGGGUAAGUUCCGACCCGCACGAAAGGCGUAACGAUUUGGGCACUGUCUCAACAACAGACUCGGUGAAAUUGUAAUUCCGGUGAAGAUGCCGGAUACCUGCGACAGGACGGAAAGACCCCAUGGAGCUUUACUGUAGCUUGACAUUGGGUCUUGGUACUACAUGUACAGGAUAGGUGGGAGGCUUUGAAACCAGGACGCCAGUUUUGGCGGAGCCAUCCUUGGGAUACCACCCUUGUA
This 305-nucleotide ribosomal RNA is filed under the name Clostridioides difficile. Its description in RNAcentral is "partial 23S ribosomal RNA". It matches the Rfam family "Bacterial large subunit ribosomal RNA", at positions 1906 to 2210 of the family's 2925-position model. The record is from RNAcentral. Lineage: Bacteria; Bacillati; Bacillota; Clostridia; Peptostreptococcales; Peptostreptococcaceae.